GGAGGUACAGCUCAGUGGUAGAGCCAGCCCAUGCUUGGUAUGCAUGAGGUCCUGGGUUCAAUCCCCAGAGCCUCCG
This 76-nucleotide transfer RNA is filed under the name Camelus bactrianus (Bactrian camel). It matches the Rfam family "tRNA". From Rfam's summary of the family: Transfer RNA (tRNA) molecules are approximately 80 nucleotides in length. The record is from Rfam by way of RNAcentral. Lineage: Eukaryota; Metazoa; Chordata; Mammalia; Artiodactyla; Camelidae. RNAcentral also lists the same sequence under 2 other names.